ACGGAAGGCAGCAGUCGGGAAUAUUGCACAAUGGGGGAAACCCUGAUGCAGUGACGCCGCGUAUAGGAAGAAGGUUUUCGGAUUGUAAACUAUUGUCUAUAGGGAAGAAAAAUGACGGUACCUAUGGAGGAAGGUCCGGCUAACUACGUGCCAGCAGCCGCGGUAAUACGUAGGGACCGAGCGUUGUCCGGAUUUAUUGGGUGUAAAGGGUGCGUAGACGGAAAAUUAAGUUGGUUGUGAAAUCCCCGGGCUCAACUUGGGAACUGCAACCAAAACUGAUUUUCUUGAGUGUAGGAGAGGAAAGUGGAAUUCCUAGUGUAGCGGUGAAAUGCGUAGAGAUUAGGAGGAACACCAGUGGCGAAGGCGACUUUCUGGACUAUAACUGACGUUGAGGCACGAAAGUGUGGGGAGCAAACAGGAUUAGAUACCCUGGUA
This 435-nucleotide ribosomal RNA is filed under the name uncultured Oscillospiraceae bacterium. RNAcentral describes it as "bacterial SSU rRNA". It matches the Rfam family "Bacterial small subunit ribosomal RNA", at positions 341 to 792 of the family's 1533-position model. Lineage: Bacteria; Bacillati; Bacillota; Clostridia; Eubacteriales; Oscillospiraceae. The record is from RNAcentral.